GGAGAGAACCCUGGUUAAGGAACUCGCAAAUUGACACCGUAACUUCGGGAGAAGGUGUGCCGCUGGCGGUUAGUGACUUCGCGUCACGAAGCUGUCGGUGGUCGCAGUGAAAUGGCGGUUGUGACUGUUUACUAAAAACACAGGACUCUGCGAAGUCGUAAGACGACGUAUAGGGUCUGAUGCCUGCCCGGUGCUGGAAGGUUAAGGGGAUAUGUCAGCGCAAGCGAAGCAUUGAACCGAAGCCCCAGUAAACGGCGGCCGUAACGAUAACGGUCCUAAGGUAGCGAAGUUCCUUGUCGGGUAAGUUCCGACCUGCACGAAGGGCAUAACAACAUCCGCACUGUCUCGACCAGGGACUCAGCGAAAUUACAUUGGGGGUGAAGAUGCCCUCUACCCGCGGAAAGACGGAAAGACCCCAUGAACCUUUACUGCAACUUGGCAGUGAUUUUCGGGUUGUUCUGCGUAGGAUAGGUGGGAGGCUUUGAAGCCGGGCUUCCGGGUUCGGCAGAGCCAACGUUGAAAUACCACCCUGAAUAAUCUGGAAAUCUAACCUGCGCCCAUGAUCUGGGCGAGGGACACUGCCUGGUGGGCAGUUUGACUGGGGCGGUCGCCUCCUAAAUUGUAACGGAGGCGUGCGACGGUUCCCUCAGGCUGAUUGGAAACCAGCCGUAGAGUGCAAACGCAUAAGGGAGCUUUACUGCGAGACUGACAAGUCGAACAGUUGCGAAAGCAGGUGUUAGUGAUCCGGUGGUACCACAUGGAAGGGCCAUCGCUCAUCGGAUAAAAGGUACUCUGGGGAUAACAGGCUGAUCGCGCCUGAGAGUUCACAUCGGCGGCGCGGUUUGGCACCUCGAUGUCGGCUCAUCGCAUCCUGGGGCUGGAGCAGGUCCCAAGGGUUUGGCUGUUCGCCAAUUAAAGCGGUACGCGAGCUGGGUUUAAAACGUCGUGAGACAGUUUGGUCCCUAUCUUCCGUGGGCGCAGGACACUUGAGAGGAGCUAUCCAUAGUACGAGAGGACCUGGAUGGACGAACCUCUGGUGCUCCGGUUGUCACGCCAGUGGCAUAGCCGGGUAGCCAUGUUCGGAACAGAUAACCGCUGAAGGCAUAUAAGCGGGAAGCUGGCCUCAAGACUAGGUGUCCCUGACGCAAGUCACUAAAGGCCCCUCGAAGACUACGAGGUUGAUAGGCUCGGUGUGGAAGCGCUGCGAGGCGUGGAGCUAACGAGUACUAAUAGGCCGUGCGACUUGACCUC
Molecule: ribosomal RNA, 1251 nt
Filed under: metagenome
Description: bacterial LSU rRNA
Rfam family: Bacterial large subunit ribosomal RNA
Source: RNAcentral